GGGGAUUGUGGAAGAGGCGCAUAAUGUGAGGGUGGUGGUUUCAGGCGAGAAGGUGAUAGUGCUAGCACAUGGGUUCGACACCGAUCAGUGCCCU
Molecule: transfer RNA, 94 nt
Filed under: Amborella trichopoda
Lineage: Eukaryota; Viridiplantae; Streptophyta; Magnoliopsida; Amborellales; Amborellaceae
Description: tRNA AMTR_s00016t00279340
Source: RNAcentral